CCUACGGGUGGCAGCAGUGGGGGAUAUUGCACAAUGGGGGAAACCCUGAUGCAGCGACGCCGCGUGUGGGAAGACGGUCCUUUGGAUUGUAAACCACUGUCCCCAGGGACGAAGAUGACGGCACCUGGGGAGGAAGCUCCGGCUAACUACGUGCCAGCAGCCGCGGUAAUACGUAGGGAGCGAGCGUUGUCCGGAAUUACUGGGUGUAAAGGGAGAGUGGGCGGGACUGCAAGUUGGGUGUAAAAUCUACCGGCGCAACCGGUAGCCGCACUCAAAACUGCAGUUCUUGAGUGAAGUAGAGGCAGGCGGAAUUCCUAGUGUAGCGGUGAAAUGCGUAGAUAUUAGGAGGAACACCAGUGGCGAAGGCAGCUUACCAAGCUACUUCUGACGUUGAGGCACGAAAGCGUGGGGAGCAAACAGGAUUAGAUACCCUAGUAGUC
This 440-nucleotide ribosomal RNA is filed under the name uncultured bacterium. RNAcentral describes it as "partial 16S ribosomal RNA". It matches the Rfam family "Bacterial small subunit ribosomal RNA", at positions 338 to 795 of the family's 1533-position model. The record is from RNAcentral.